UACGUAGGGUGCAAGCGUUAUCCGGAUUUACUGGGCGUAAAGAGCGCGCAGGCGGCUGGUCAAGUCCGAUGUGAAAUCUCCCGGCUUAACUGGGAAACUGCAUCGGAAACUGAUCGGCUUGAAGGUGGGAGAGGGUAGUGGAAUUCCCGGUGUAGUGGUGAAAUGCGUAGAUGUCAAGAGGAACACCUGCGGCGAAGGCGGGUUGCUGGGCCGACACUGACGCUGAGGCGCGAAAGCCAGGGGAGCGAACGGG
This 253-nucleotide ribosomal RNA is filed under the name uncultured bacterium. RNAcentral describes it as "partial 16S ribosomal RNA". It matches the Rfam family "Bacterial small subunit ribosomal RNA", at positions 524 to 776 of the family's 1533-position model. The record is from RNAcentral.